UAUCUAACGUAAACUUCCGGCGAAGUAACCUUCACGUGUUUUGUAGACCGGUUACAUCAGCUCUAGAAAAAUGGGAAAUGCUAACGCACCAGCAGCACCAGUAGCACCAACUGCUCCCGCGCCGACAAUAGAACCUGCUAAAAAGCUAAAACCAUGUUGUGCUUGUCCAGAAACCAGGGGACCUAGAGAUGAAUGCAUAGUUCUAAAAGGCGAGGAGAACUGUAAAGACCUGAUAGAGGCUCACAAGGAAUGCAUGAGAAAGCUGGGAUUUAAAGUCUAACACAAGAAAGAUUUGAAUGAGAGACAGGAUCAGAACUUGUGAGCUUUUCGUGGAUGAAUGAUGCUGUUCAGGAAUGGAUGAGUUUAUUUAUGAGGAUGUAAGGACACAAACAGAGAUCUGUGUUUACAUGCAACUGCAGUUGCAUUGUCUCUUAAAAGUAUCAGUACAUAUAGGAUAGUACUUCUGUAUCAAGCUAUAAAUACCAAGGACUUGUUUAUAACAGUGGAUGGAUUUUAUGAACAAUGUGUAACUGACGCUCCUUUAGUAAACUAUUCACUUGUUGGAUUAAAACAAUAUAUGUAUGAGAUUUAAAACUUUUUUUGAAAUCCCUUAAUCCACUGUGCACAAGUAGAUUUUCCAAGUAAUAUGUUUCAAGUGCGUUUUUGUAAUGUGUUUUUAACUUUGUUUUGUGUGUAAUAUUUGUACACUGUACAUGUCAUUAUUCUGUUAAAUAAUGAAUUGAAAUAAUUCCUAUGAUAAUGAAUAAAUGUUGAAUGUAGAACUGA
Long non-coding RNA from Mizuhopecten yessoensis (Yesso scallop), 786 nucleotides. RefSeq lists it as uncharacterized. The record is from RefSeq and is a predicted model, not a curated record. Lineage: Eukaryota; Metazoa; Mollusca; Bivalvia; Pectinida; Pectinidae. The transcript is spliced from 3 exons.